AGUCGACGCUUUGUCUUUAACUGAUAUGACGAGCUUGCUCUGAUUUGAUUUUAUCUGACAAAGAGUGGCGAACGGGUGAGUAACACGUGGGUAACCUACCUCUUAGCAGGGGAUAACAUUUGGAAACAAGUGCUAAUACCGUAUAAUACCAACAACCGCAUGGUUGUUGGUUGAAAGAUGGUUCUGCUAUCACUAAGAGAUGGACCCGCGGUGCAUUAGCUAGUUGGUAAGGUAACGGCUUACCAAGGCAAUGAUGCAUAGCCGAGUUGAGAGACUGAUCGGCCACAAUGGGACUGAGACACGGCCCAUACUCCUACGGGAGGCAGCAGUAGGGAAUCUUCCACAAUGGGCGCAAGCCUGAUGGAGCAACGCCGCGUGUGUGAUGAAGGGUUUCGGCUCGUAAAACACUGUUAUAAGAGAAGAACGGCACUGAGAGUAACUGUUCAGUGUGUGACGGUAUCUUACCAGAAAGGAACGGCUAAAUACGUGCCAGCAGCCGCGGUAAUACGUAUGUUCCAAGCGUUAUCCGGAUUUAUUGGGCGUAAAGCGAGCGCAGACGGUUAUUUAAGUCUGAAGUGAAAGCCCUCAGCUCAACUGAGGAAUGGCUUUGGAAACUGGAUGACUUGAGUGCAGUAGAGGAAAGUGGAACUCCAUGUGUAGCGGUGAAAUGCGUAGAUAUAUGGAAGAACACCAGUGGCGAAGGCGGCUUUCUGGACUGUAACUGACGUUGAGGCUCGAAAGUGUGGGUAGCAAACAGGAUUAGAUACCCUGGUAGUCCACACCGUAAACGAUGAGUGCUA
This 800-nucleotide ribosomal RNA is filed under the name Weissella paramesenteroides. Its description in RNAcentral is "bacterial SSU rRNA". It matches the Rfam family "Bacterial small subunit ribosomal RNA", at positions 28 to 818 of the family's 1533-position model. Lineage: Bacteria; Bacillati; Bacillota; Bacilli; Lactobacillales; Lactobacillaceae. The record is from RNAcentral.